This 148-nucleotide non-coding RNA is filed under the name Homo sapiens (human). The record is from Rfam by way of RNAcentral. Lineage: Eukaryota; Metazoa; Chordata; Mammalia; Primates; Hominidae.
GCCGGGCAUGGUGGUGCAUGCCUGUAGUCCUGGCUACUUGGGAGGCUGAGGCAGGAGAAUCGCUUGAACCCAGGAGGUGGAGGUUGCAGUGAGCCGAGAUCAUGCUACUGCACUUCAGCCUGGGCAACAGAGUGAGACUCUGUCUCAA